Stegostoma tigrinum is the source of this 966-nucleotide long non-coding RNA. RefSeq lists it as uncharacterized. The record is from RefSeq and is a predicted model, not a curated record. Lineage: Eukaryota; Metazoa; Chordata; Chondrichthyes; Orectolobiformes; Stegostomatidae. The transcript has 4 exons.
GUGGAGUUAGUGGAACCGAAAAAGAUGUCUCCCUCACAGCGUUUUUGACAAAAGAAUUGCAUCGUUCCUUGGUGGCCUUUCAACAGAAGAAUAUUCAGAGAUUUCACGAGUGACCCACACACACAGUCGCACAGACACACACACACUCUCGCUCUCUCUCACACACACAAACACUCACUCACUCUCUCACUCACUCUCUCUCUCUCUCACAACCACACACACACUCUCUCUCUCUCUCUCACACUGUCUCUCUCACAGACUCUCUCUCUCACACACUCACUCUCUCUCUCUCACACACACACAAUCACUCUCUCCCUCUCUCUCACACACACACCCACACUCUCUCUCUCUCACACACUCUGUCUCUCUCUCUCUCUCACACACACACAAACACUCACACACACACACACACACACACACACACACACACACACAGACACACUCUCUCUCUCUCUGAGACACACACACACACACACACACACACACACACACACACACACACACACACACACACACACUCCUCUGGAUUAUUCCUGGUGUCGCAUGCUGAGAAGGCAAGAAAAAGGGGAAGAAAACAGAUGAAUGCUUUGCUCAAGUGUUCGUGUUCGGGGAAGGAUUCAGACUCCCAGAUCUGAAGGAAAAUUUGCGGGCAUGGUGUAUCCUCUUCAAGUGGGCUGGUCUGCAGCUGAACCGGAAAGGAGCCAAAAUCUUUGCACAAGGGUUUGCUAAUGUUGUGAGGAAUUUCGGCUAUGGACCUCCGAGCAGUGGGCAUUUUCAGUUCGACCAAAAGGAAAAAAAGUAUUGAGGGAUAUGGACCAAAGGCAAUAUGGAGGUAAGAAGGGGGAGCAAUCAAUGGGAUGGUUUGACUGCAUUGCUGUCGUUUUUCGAUAGUGUUGUCGGAGUCGCACUCGUUCAGCUGAGUGAAGAGUAUUUCAUUGACACCCGGAUUUGGAGUUUAUCGGCAGU